RNAcentral lists this unclassified non-coding RNA (437 nucleotides) under Bombus terrestris (buff-tailed bumblebee). RNAcentral describes it as "misc RNA ENSBTSG00005030290.1". The record is from RNAcentral. Lineage: Eukaryota; Metazoa; Arthropoda; Insecta; Hymenoptera; Apidae.
CAAAGGAAAUUCUGAGGUGCCGUUUUUGGUAAAAUAUGGACGUUCCAAUAUUUGAUCUCUGCUCUAUCUGGGAAGUUUAAAUGGAAUUUUAUUGUAAGCUACGCAAGAUUCUUUUUUAUUGUUUUUCUAAGUGAAGUUUCGAGGGAAAUUCUGAGGUGCCGUUUUUUGGUAAAAUAUGGACGUUCCAAUAUUUGAUCUUUGCUCUAUCUGGGAAGUUUAAAUGGAAUUUUAUUGUAAGCUACGCAAGAUUCGCUUUUAUUGUCUGUCUGUUCUUAGUGAAGUUCCGAGGGAAAUUCUGAGGUGCCGUUUUUUGGUAAAAAAUGGAUGUUCCAAUACUGUUUUCGGCUGUAUUCGAGAAGUUUGAACGAUAUUUUAUAAGUCACAAGCUACGGGACUUCUUUUUAUUAUUUUUAUGUUCCAAGGUAAGUUCUAGGGUG